This 253-nucleotide ribosomal RNA is filed under the name uncultured bacterium. RNAcentral's name for it is "partial 16S ribosomal RNA". It matches the Rfam family "Bacterial small subunit ribosomal RNA", at positions 524 to 776 of the family's 1533-position model. The record is from RNAcentral.
GACGGAGGGUGCAAGCGUUGUUCGGAUUGACUGGGCGUAAAGGGCGUGUAGGCGGUCGGUCAAGUCUGGUGUGAAAGCCCGGGGCUCAGCUCCGGAAGUGCAUCGGAAACUAGCUGGCUGGAGCGCGAUAGAGGAGGGCGGAAUUCCUGGUGUAGCGGUGAAAUGCGUAGAUAUCAGGAGGAACACCGGCGGCGAAGGCGGUUCUCUGGGCCUGUACUGACGCUGAGGAGCGAAAGCGUGGGGAGCGAACAGG